CGUUUUCACUUUAGUACCCUAUGAUUUAAAGUGUAUUAAGUUAGUACCCUAUGGUUUCGCACUUUUUCAAUUUAGUACCUUAUGGUUUAAAGUGUAUCAAGUUAGUACUCUGUGAUUUUAUUUUUGUAUCAAGUUAGGCUUAGUUUGGUAUUGAGGCGGAUCUAACGCUAUUAGAUAGAAUGGAGUUGAGAAAAAGCAUAUAGGGAUAUGCUUCUGCUUUUUUCGAUAGGACCGCAGAAAAUAUAUCGUAACCGACUAACUGCAAUAUGCGAAACGCAAUAUUACGUACGGAAACAAACAUGAUUUUUUUUUUAUCGUCGUUUCACACCGCCCGGAACACAAUCUCCCCGCAAUCCCAAACGAAGCCUUAGUACCAUGUGGUUUCAUUUUUCUCUUUUUAUUAUCCAUUCGGGAUAUAUUUUUCGUUAAAUUAACUAAAGGGUACUAAAAUGAAUAUCCGAUAAACCUAGAUAAGGUAUCUGAAGUUUUUUGUAUAUAAUUUAACGAAAUAUUAAACCACAGGGUACUAAAGUGAGAAAGUGCAAAACCACAAACUUUAAACCACAGGAUACUAAAAUGAGAAAGUGCGAAAACCACACGAUACUAAUUUGGUACAUUUUAAAUUAUAGGAUACUAAAAUAAGAAAGUGCGAAAUCAGGGUAUUUAAAGUUUUCCCUGUAUUUUUUUGAACUACAGUGGGU
RNAcentral lists this long non-coding RNA (701 nucleotides) under Ananas comosus (pineapple). Its description in RNAcentral is "long non-coding RNA (ACOM_LNC004075)". The record is from RNAcentral. Lineage: Eukaryota; Viridiplantae; Streptophyta; Magnoliopsida; Poales; Bromeliaceae.